Long non-coding RNA from Dermochelys coriacea (leatherback sea turtle), 415 nucleotides. RefSeq lists it as uncharacterized. The record is from RefSeq and is a predicted model, not a curated record. Lineage: Eukaryota; Metazoa; Chordata; Testudines; Dermochelyidae. The transcript has 3 exons.
GCUCCAUCUAGGUUGCAUUUCCCUAGUUUGUUUGAGAAGGUAAUGAGACAAUAUCAAAAGCUUUACUUAAGAUAUACCAUGUUUACUGCUUCCACCUCUAUCCACAAGACUUGUUACCCUGUCAAUGAAAGCCUGUGAAAUGCUUACAGCUCAUUUUGGUGUUACACUAUGAAUUAUCUAUUAUCGUACCCAGUUCCAGAUAUUACAUCAUUCACUUUUUCAUCAAGAAGUUUUAGGGCAAAUGGGAAAUUGUUUGUUUAAUAUCUACUAUUUGCAGUGUUGUCGUCGUGUUCGUCCCAGGAUAUUAGAGAGAGCAGGUGGAUGAGGUAAUACCUCUUACUAGGCUGAUUUUGGUGGGUGAAAGAGACGACGUUUCCUGAAGAAGAGCUGUCUAGCUCAAAAGCUUGUCUCUCUU